This 253-nucleotide ribosomal RNA is filed under the name uncultured bacterium. RNAcentral's name for it is "partial 16S ribosomal RNA". It matches the Rfam family "Bacterial small subunit ribosomal RNA", at positions 524 to 776 of the family's 1533-position model. The record is from RNAcentral.
UACGGGGGGGGCAAGCGUUGUUCGGAAUUACUGGGCGUAAAGGGCUCGUAGGCGGCCAACUAAGUCAGACGUGAAAUCCCUCGGCUUAACCGGGGAACUGCGUCUGAUACUGGAUGGCUUGAGAUUGGGAGAGGGAUGCGGAAUUCCAGGUGUAGCGGUGAAAUGCGUAGAUAUCUGGAGGAACACCGGUGGCGAAGGCGGCAUCCUGGACCGAGAUUGACGCUGAGGCGCGAAAGCCAGGGGAGCAAGCGGG